GACGAACGCUGGCGGCGUGCUUAACACAUGCACGUCGAACGGAAAGGCCCUGCUUUUGUGGGGUGCUCGAGUGGCGAACGGGUGAGUAACACGUGAGUAACCUGCCCUUGACUUUGGGAUAACUUCAGGAAACUGGGGCUAAUACCGGAUAGGAGCUCCUGCCGCAUGGUGGGGGUUGGAAAGUUUCGGCGGUUGGGGAUGGACUCGCGGCUUAUCAGCUUGUUGGUGGGGUAGUGGCUUACCAAGGCUUUGACGGGUAGCCGGCCUGAGAGGGUGACCGGCCACAUUGGGACUGAGAUACGGCCCAGACUCCUACGGGAGGCAGCAGUGGGGAAUAUUGCACAAUGGGCGGAAGCCUGAUGCAGCAACGCCGCGUGCGGGAUGACGGCCUUCGGGUUGUAAACCGCUUUCGCCUGUGACGAAGCGUGAGUGACGGUAAUGGGUAAAGAAGCACCGGCUAACUACGUG
RNAcentral lists this ribosomal RNA (468 nucleotides) under uncultured bacterium. RNAcentral describes it as "partial 16S ribosomal RNA". It matches the Rfam family "Bacterial small subunit ribosomal RNA", at positions 28 to 507 of the family's 1533-position model. The record is from RNAcentral.